RNAcentral lists this non-coding RNA (261 nucleotides) under Bacillota bacterium. RNAcentral's name for it is "Firmicutes bacterium T-box sequence". It matches the Rfam family "T-box leader". From Rfam's summary of the family: Uncharged tRNA acts as the effector for transcription antitermination of genes in the T-box leader family. Lineage: Bacteria; Bacillati; Bacillota. The record is from RNAcentral.
AGAAAAGCGAUGAAGAGAAAUAGUAGAUAUUAGUCCUAUGUACAGAGAGAAGCCGGUUGGUGGAAGGCUUUGAUAAGAUGGUAUCGAACCGGUCUUGGAGCUGCAGGUUGAAAUUGAGCCGAAAAUUUGUCAGGCAUAAGAAAGUAGACACUGUCGGAAGUCCCCCGUUAAAAGGAAAUGAUAUCGAGGAAACUCUGUAUCUAUGAGUGUGGGAGUAAUCCUGAAUUCAGGUGGUAACACGGAUGAAUAUUCGCCCUGAAC